This 585-nucleotide ribosomal RNA is filed under the name uncultured bacterium. RNAcentral's name for it is "partial 16S ribosomal RNA". It matches the Rfam family "Bacterial small subunit ribosomal RNA", at positions 355 to 1375 of the family's 1533-position model. The record is from RNAcentral.
UGGGGAAUUUUGGACAAUGGGCGAAAGCCUGAUCCAGCAAUGCCGCGUGUGUGAAGAAGGCCUUCGGGUUGUAAAGCACUUUUGUCCGGAAAGAAAUCCUUGGCUCUAAUACAGUCGGGGGAUGACGGUACCGGAAGAAUAAGCACCGGCUAACUACGUGCCAGCAGCCGCGGUAAUACGUAGGGUGCAAGCGUUAAUCGGAAUUACUGGGCGUAAAGCGUGCGCAGGCGGUUUGCUAAGACCGAUGUGAAAUCCCCGGGCUCAACCCGGGAACUGCAUUGGUGACUGGCAGGCUAGAGUAUGGCAGAGGGGGGUAGAAUUCCACGUGUAGCAGUGAAAUGCGUAGAGAUGUGGAGGAAUACCGAUGGCGAAGGCAGCCCCCUGGGUCAAUACUGACGCUCAUGCACGAAAGCGUGGGGAGCAAACAGGAUUAGAUACCCUGGUAGUCCACGCCCUAAACGAUGUCAACUAGUUGUUGGGGAUUCAUUUCCUUAGUAACGUAGCUAACGCGUGAAGUUGACCGCCUGGGGAGUACGGUCGCAAGAUUAAAACUCAAAUGAAUUGACGGGGUCAUAGCUGUUUCCU